Non-coding RNA from Suillus weaverae, 80 nucleotides. NCBI's taxonomy places the organism in Eukaryota, Fungi, Basidiomycota, Agaricomycetes, Boletales, Suillaceae. The record is from the annotation of a GenBank genome assembly.
UCGGAUAUGGUGUAAUGGUUAACAUUACCGCCUCUCAUAAUAUAACGCGGUAGCUCGGGGUUCGAUUCCCCGUAUCCGAA